AGGUUUUGUUCAGCGGUCCUGCAAUUUGCUGAUAAUCAAGUGUCAAGGCCCUACUAUAUGCCAGCAUUGGGCACUCUUAUCACAUUGGGAAAAAAAUGUUGAUCACUCUUCAUCGGUUCUGGACAAAGUUCACAAUUGAGAGGACAUAAAAUAUAUUUAUCAUGUAAUCUACGACGAGUCAGACAAACAACUCCAUAUACUCGAAACUAGAGAUACAAACUUUAGGAGGGACUAACAUUCACAAAAUAUUUCAAUCUCCCUUCAAAUGAAACUUCUUCACUUU
This 283-nucleotide long non-coding RNA is filed under the name Medicago truncatula (barrel medic). RNAcentral describes it as "long non-coding RNA (MTRU_LNC005542)". Lineage: Eukaryota; Viridiplantae; Streptophyta; Magnoliopsida; Fabales; Fabaceae. The record is from RNAcentral.